GACGAACCGUGCGAACGUUGUUUGGAAUCACUGGGCUUAAAGGGCGCGUAGGCGGGCUGCCAAGUCCGGGGUGAAAUCUUUCGGCCCAACCGGAAAAGUGCCUUGGAUACUGGCGGCCUGGAGGGAGGCAGGGGCGGAUGGAACUUCCGGUGGAGCGGUGAAAUGCGUUGAUAUCGGAAGGAACGCCGGUGGCGAAAGCGAUCCGCUGGACCUCUUCUGACGCUGAGGCGCGAAAGCCAGGGGAGCAAACGGG
This 253-nucleotide ribosomal RNA is filed under the name uncultured bacterium. Its description in RNAcentral is "partial 16S ribosomal RNA". It matches the Rfam family "Bacterial small subunit ribosomal RNA", at positions 524 to 776 of the family's 1533-position model. The record is from RNAcentral.